AGAGUUUGAUCCUGGCUCAGAACGAACGCUGGCGGCAUGCCUAACACAUGCAAGUCGAACGAGGGCUUCGGCCCUAGUGGCGCACGGGUGAGUAACGCGUGGGAACCUGCCCUGUGGUACGGAAAACUCCGGGAAACUGAGAGCUAAUACCGUAUGUGUCUUGAGGGACAAAGAUUUAUCGCCAUGGGAUGGGCCCGCGUAGGAUUAGCUUGUUGGUGGGGUAACGGCCUACCAAGGCAACGAUCCUUAGCUGGUCUGAGAGGAUGAUCAGCCACACUGGGACUGAGACACGGCCCAGACUCCUACGGGAGGCAGCAGUGGGGAAUAUUGGACAAUGGGCGCAAGCCUGAUCCAGCAAUGCCGCGUGAGUGAUGAAGCCUUCGGGUUGUAAAGCUCUUUCGCACGCGACGAUGAUGACGCGUAGCGUGAGAAGAAGCCCCGGCUAACUUCGUGCCAGCAGCCGCGGUAAUACGAAGGGGGCUAGCGUUGUUCGGAAUUACUGGGCGUAAAGGGCGCGUAGGCGGUACUUCAAGUCAGGCGUGAAAGCCCCGGGCUCAACCUGGGAACCGCGCUUGAGACUGGAGAACUAGAGUUCGGGAGAGGAUGGUGGAAUUCCCAGUGUAGAGGUGAAAUUCGUAGAUAUUGGAAGAAC
This 652-nucleotide ribosomal RNA is filed under the name uncultured Azospirillum sp. Its description in RNAcentral is "bacterial SSU rRNA". It matches the Rfam family "Bacterial small subunit ribosomal RNA", at positions 8 to 707 of the family's 1533-position model. The record is from RNAcentral. Lineage: Bacteria; Pseudomonadati; Pseudomonadota; Alphaproteobacteria; Rhodospirillales; Azospirillaceae.